This 758-nucleotide long non-coding RNA is filed under the name Equus caballus (horse). RNAcentral's name for it is "lncRNA (ENSECAG00000049380.1)". Lineage: Eukaryota; Metazoa; Chordata; Mammalia; Perissodactyla; Equidae. The record is from RNAcentral.
AUCCUGGCAACAAAUUUUCUUUGUUUUCCUUCAGCUGAGAAGGUCUUCCUUCCUGAAGGAUAUUUUCAGUUGGUAUAGAAUUGACUAUACUAAGUCAACUAUAGUUGACAGCUUUUUUCUUUCAACACUUGAAAAUUAUUGUGACACUUCCUUGUGGCCUCCAUAGUUUCUGAUGAGAAAUCCACUGUCAUUAAAGUUGCUUUUCCUCUGUAGUUUAUACGUGGGAUGCCUACCACAGCAUGGCUGCCAAGCAGUGCCAUGUCCGCACCCGGGAUCCGAACCAGCGAACCCCGGGCCGCCGAGAAGCGGAACGUGCGAACUUAACCGCUGCGCCACCGGGCCAGCCCCAAGGGAACCGAGAAGUAGAUGGAAGAGAUCAAGUGUGAUGGGAGUAGAGACACAACUGAAAACUCAGAGAUACUCUCAAGGCCAGCAAUCUCCGAGGACCAGAUCUUGGCUGGGUUCAGUGUGGUUCCUGCAGAAAGUAGGGGCCACCCUACAUGCCAAGUCUACCCUAAUCUCAUGUAUUUACAAAGCCUGGAUUGACACCAGAGAGACCCAGAAAAAUUCAACAUGUGAAGAAGCCUCCAAAUCAACUCAUUUUCAGAAGAAUCUUCCUUGAAUGGACUACUCCUGAAAGAAAUUUCCAACAAGGUGCAGAUGUGGGUAGAUAUCAGUUAGAAUCAUUGUAUUGGUUAUAAUGCUUCUGGUUGUAAGUAACAGAAAACUUAGUUCAAAUAAGCUUAAGCAGAAAGGGC